Molecule: ribosomal RNA, 253 nt
Filed under: uncultured bacterium
Lineage: Bacteria
Description: partial 16S ribosomal RNA
Rfam family: Bacterial small subunit ribosomal RNA
Source: RNAcentral
UACAGAGGAUGCAAGCGUUAUCCGGAAUGAUUGGGCGUAAAGCGUCUGUAGGUGGCUUUUUAAGUCCGCCGUCAAAUCCCAGGGCUCAACUCUGGACAGGCGGUGGAAACUACCAAGCUGGAGUACGGUAGGGGCAGAGGGAAUUUCCGGUGGAGCGGUGAAAUGCGUAGAGAUCGGGAAGAACAUCGGUGGCGAAAGCGCUCUACUGGACCGCAACUGACACUCAGGGACGAAAGCUAGGGGAGCGAAUGGG